RNAcentral lists this long non-coding RNA (1518 nucleotides) under Cricetulus griseus (Chinese hamster). Its description in RNAcentral is "lncRNA (ENSCGRG00015029100.1)". The record is from RNAcentral. Lineage: Eukaryota; Metazoa; Chordata; Mammalia; Rodentia; Cricetidae.
GUCCAAACGCAGCUCUGAAAGCUGCAGAGUGUAGCUGAAAUGUCCUUAUAAAUUCGACUUUGGAGAGUCCUGUCACUGGGGAACCACAACAGUGAAGUCACAGGGAACCCUCAUACCACAGAAAGGGUUGUUUGUAGUUGUCAGAAACCUACCAAGGUUUCCUCCAACCCACAUCUCUCCAAGCCCAGGCACGGGUGAGCUUCACAGGCGUGGCGUGCGCUGUCAGUGAUCAUUUCUCCACUUCUCCUUUGAAAUAUGUCACUUUAAGAGACUGGAACUUAGUCAGUCUCCACAGCUAAAAUAUUCCAGCCACAGUACACCAAAGGUUACUAGAUGAAGUUUCAUUUACUUUGUUUUGUUGAGAUAGUGUCUCACCCACUGUGUAGCCCAGGAGGGUCUACAGCUCACUGUGGUGUCCCAGGCUGGCUUCACACUGACAGAACUCAGGCCUUAGCCUCCUGAGUGCUGGGAUUAUAGUUAUGAACCACCAUACCCAGCUUUAAAAUGAGAGAGGUUUGUAGCUACUCUUUUAAUUUUUAUUACCUUGCAAAUUAAAGGACAUUGUUAUAAAGUGGGAAACCAGCUAAUAAAGCUUAACCAAGUUGUUAAUAAACACUCUGGAUUCAUAAAACCCUUAGACCAUGUCUCAGUAGCGGGAUUCCCUAGUCUCCCUUUGAUCAGCCAGUACUGUUCUAGCACUGCCACUAAUAGCUCUAAAGUGACGGUCCUAUGCUACAAUGCCUAGAACCUAAAUCCAGAAUUAUAGAAAAAAUAAUUGUUAACUUUCAAAGUCCUGCAAUGUGAUAGUUGACCAAAAAAUGCUUCGUGUAUUAUGAGACAGGAAUUAUUAAUAUUAUCAGUAUUAGCCAGAGACACCCUUUCAGAAAUUAAAUUUUGGAGGAUUUUCUGCUACUCUGUAAACAGAAAACUUCUAAAUACUUCUAUAAAUACAAGAAUUGGUCAUGAAGCAGAUCUUUUUUGUGGUGAAAUCUUGCUCAUCAUUGUCCUAGGAGUCCUGGGCUAGUGGAUUCCUUGCUGGUGCAGGUGCUGGCUGCUGAUGCCCUUUUAGCCCCAAACUGUACAACUAGCAGCAUCUCAGGUCCAGCCUUGUCAUCAUCACAUGAUCUAGCCCAUCUCUGCUCUGUGGAGGUAGAGGAAUGUGUGUGUAACUUCACAAGUGAGUUCUGAUUAGCCCACAGCAACCAGCAUAACCUCACAAAUGCAAUGCAGUUAAAAAGAAGGAAACGUCACAGACUAGUCCUUUGGAGGCUGGCGGCCAGCGGUCCAACAUCACCCGCCUCACGACCAUCUGCAGGAAGACCAUCACUUGGUGUAUUGCUGGUGAUGGAGGAGUGAGUCAGAACAUAUCCCUGCACUGCGGCCCACUAAGCUGCCAGCGUGGGACCCCGUUUUGAGAUCACAUAAGGAUGCACCUCUGCCAAGUGUUGCCUGUUCCAGUGUAAGGUGAUCAGAGCUCUGGAACCCACCAGUGAUGACUUUCAGUGGAUGUUCUCAGCG